AGCUCUUCCGCUUGUUGAUACUUGUUCUGUUUCAGGUAGGCUGAGGCCAGGUUGUUCUUGGUCUUGGCCACGUUGGGGUCAUGGGGCCCGCCCAGUGCCUCAUAGAUGCUCAGGGCCCGGGCAUAGUGCCGCUCCACGUCCUCAAACUUGCCCUGGUUCUGGCACAGCAGGGCCAGGUUGUUGAGCUGCUUGGCCACAUCUGGGUGGUCAGCACCCAGGACCUUCUCUCGGAUCUCCAAAGCGCGCUGGCACAGGGGCUCUGCCUCCCGGUAACGCCCACGCUUCCCAUAGAGGACAGCCAAGUUGUUGAGCGUGGCGGCCACCGCGGGGUGCUCAGGGCCCAGCGUCUGCUCCCGGAUCUGCAGGGCAUCAUGGAGAAGGUCUGUGGCUUCUUUGUACUUGUUCUGGUCCCGGUACACCAGCGCCAGGAUGUUGAGCAUGGUGGCCACGUCAGGGUGGCAGUGGCCCGAGCUGCGCUCCAGGUCCUCCAAGGCCUGGCGGCACAGAGGCACCGCCACCUCAUAGCGGCCCUGCCCCGCGUACUGGAUCACGAGGUUAUGCAGGGUCCGAAGGCGGGCAGGGAUCUCAUAGCCACCCUGCUGAGCAGCUGCUGCUCCUGCGGCCUCAGGACCUUUCCUCUCCUCCUCCUCGCUGGGGAACAGGGAGGCCAGGCUGUCUCGGCGAGGCGGGGACUCAGACUGCUGGCUCUCCGCCGGUGGGUCGUACUGUCGCAGCUGCCCCAGGAACUCCAGGUGGCGCUUCUCCUCCUCCAGCUGGGCCACGGACUCCUCGCUGGCCCGAAGCCGCCGCUGCGUCUCCUCCAGUUCCUCCCGCAGCCACACGUUCUCCUGGGCCAGCCGCCGGGCCUGCGAGCGCAGCCGCUGCUUCUCUGCCUCCAGUGCACCCACAUGUGCCGACAGGGCCAGCAGCACCUGGGCCUCGCCCAGCCCCAGCUCGAUGGCCUCCAGCGAGUGGCUCACCACCUGCUGCUUUUCCUCCAGCAUCUCCAAGCCGGCUGCCGGGCCCUGUCCCGCCAGGGCCUCCGCCAGGUGCCCAGCCAGGCCAUGGUGCUCUGCCCGCAGCGCCUCCAGCCCCUGGACCACUUGCCGCGUCUGCCGCACCAGCUCCUCAGGGCUCAGGCGCUCUGGGCCCAGCCCUGCACUUCCAGGAGCCGCUACCUGCACAGACAUUGCUGCUCCUGUAAUCCCAGGGCUUCAGGAGGAUUGCUGGAGCCUAGGAGUUUGAGACCAACUUGGGGAACAUAGGAUGAACCUAUCUGUGGAGGACGACAAAAUGAUGGGCCUUGAACUUUUGGUGUGGCCAUGUGACUUGCUUUGGCCAAUAGCAGAGGGGCACAAGUGACAGUCGUGUCAGUUCUGAGCUUAGGCCUCAAGAGACCUUGAACAUUUCUUUUUGCAUCUCAGCAUCACCAUGAGACGGGCUUCCCCUGAGAGCUUCCUCUCCCCUCAGCCUGCACUCCACAAGGUUCCCAUAUGAAGCAGAACUUCCCAUCUGAGCCCGGCCUGGAUUGGCCAACUGUCAGCCAACCCCACAUCCAUUUUAGAGCUAUUGACCAGGCAUGGUGGCUCACACCUGUAAUCCCAGCACUUUGAGAGGCCAAGGCAGGAGGAUUGCUUGAGACCAGGAGUUUGAGACCAGCCUGGGCAAUAUAGCAAGAUCCCCAUCUCCACAAAAAAAAAAAAAAGUUAAAAUGAGCCAAGUGUGGUGGCGCACACCUGUAGUUGCAGCUGCUUGGGAGAUUGAGGUGGGAUCCCCAGAGGUCAAGGUUGCAGUGAGCUAUGAUGGCACCACUGUAUUCCAGCUUGGGUGAAAAAGAGUGGGGCAAGAGGUAAGAACCUGUCUCCAAAAUAAAAUUGUACCAAAAUAAAAUGUAAAAAACCAUGAACCAAAAAUAAAAUGUAAAAAAAUAAAAAUAAAAAUAAAAUGGCCAGGCGCAGUGGCUCACGCCUGUAAUCCUGGCACUUUGGGAGACCGAGGUGGGUGGA
RNAcentral lists this long non-coding RNA (2006 nucleotides) under Homo sapiens (human). RNAcentral's name for it is "non-protein coding lnc-ERCC2-1:1". Lineage: Eukaryota; Metazoa; Chordata; Mammalia; Primates; Hominidae. The record is from RNAcentral.